AAUUGUCGUGUAAUAUAUUACUUGGAUUGAUUGUUAUCAUUCUUCUCAUCCCGGCAUGUUAUCUCAUGCUAAGAAAAUAUUUUAAGCAAGCGUGUAGAAAUGCGAUUGAACACUAUCCUUUAGACUGCUAUUAUGGUAUAGCUUCUCAUCAGUGCACGAAAAAAAAAUCAGCUCAACCGAAAAAGAAAUAUAAAAAGAAAAAGAGGAGUAAAAAGCAACGUAAAAAAGAGAGUAUGGGACACUCUAAAAAGAAAAGAAAAUAGCACAUGUAAUUUGAAGACGAAAUAAAACAAUCUAAUCAAAACAAUUGAUAACAUGUCUGAUAAAUGUAUUAAAGAGAUAAUGACACGAUAAGCGGCUUAUACUUGUAUAUAUUUCUAAGUAAGUUCUAUAUUUGAAAGCAAUUUGUAGGUUUUUUCCUUUGCUGUUGUUUCCUUUUUUAUUUCGUAUAUAUUUUGAUUGUGUGUAUACGUAUAAUUUCACUUAUAUUCACUUUUUUGUUUUGACCUUCUUGAUGUUUUUUUUAUUCUUGUACAAUGUGUGCAAAUUGAGGUAAGAUUAAUGGUAUAUUUUAACGAAAAGUAGUGAUGUUGUAGUGGUUAAUAACCUGUUGAUAUCAAAUAAAUUUUUGAAUCAUAAAGUUUUGUUCACGAAAAAAUAUGCAUACGAAGUUGAACAAGCACCUUGUUCAAAGUUUUGCCUUUUUAUCAUUUUGUCUAAAAAAUAAUACUGAAUGGUAUGACUCCAUCAAUAGCUCUGAAGUAUUUAAUAAGCAUAUUGAAUGUAAAUGAAAGUAAGUUAAAGUUUAAAUUCUUCUAAAGGUAAAUUGCUGCCAUCUUAGUCAUACGAUACGAUGUCAAAAAUGCCAAAUUUCCACUCGUCGUUGCCUUUGCUACUUUUUGAAGUGAACACUGAUUAUGAAUAGAAUCCAAAUAAAUGGAUCCUUUAUGAUUAUUUUUAUUGUGUGUUUAUUAAAAUGUUUCUUGAUUAUGUACAUUUGAUCAUAAUAAAGAUAAA
Ruditapes philippinarum (Manila clam) is the source of this 1017-nucleotide long non-coding RNA. RefSeq lists it as uncharacterized. The transcript has 2 exons. Lineage: Eukaryota; Metazoa; Mollusca; Bivalvia; Venerida; Veneridae. The record is from RefSeq and is a predicted model, not a curated record.